Molecule: ribosomal RNA, 339 nt
Filed under: Klebsiella pneumoniae
Lineage: Bacteria; Pseudomonadati; Pseudomonadota; Gammaproteobacteria; Enterobacterales; Enterobacteriaceae
Also listed under: 2 other names
Description: partial 16S ribosomal RNA
Rfam family: Bacterial small subunit ribosomal RNA
Source: RNAcentral
AAAUUGAAGAGUUUGAUCAUGGCUCAGAUUGAACGCUGGCGGCAGGCCUAACACAUGCAAGUCGAGCGGUAGCACAGAGAGCUUGCUCUCGGGUGACGAGCGGCGGACGGGUGAGUAAUGUCUGGGAAACUGCCUGAUGGAGGGGGAUAACUACUGGAAACGGUAGCUAAUACCGCAUAAUGUCGCAAGACCAAAGUGGGGGACCUUCGGGCCUCAUGCCAUCAGAUGUGCCCAGAUGGGAUUAGCUAGUAGGUGGGGUAAUGGCUCACCUAGGCGACGAUCCCUAGCUGGUCUGAGAGGAUGACCAGCCACACUGGAACUGAGACACGGUCCAGACUC